Long non-coding RNA from Passer domesticus (house sparrow), 595 nucleotides. RefSeq lists it as uncharacterized. The record is from RefSeq and is a predicted model, not a curated record. The transcript has 2 exons. NCBI's taxonomy places the organism in Eukaryota, Metazoa, Chordata, Aves, Passeriformes, Passeridae.
CAGGUGCUCACGCACACGUGGUUGGGUGCCUGCUCCUGAAUUUCCUGGGGUUGAAACCAAAAUGUUCUGUAAUUUCCUGCCUCUUCUUUACCUCCCUUCUAAGCACACGUGUUUCAUUUGCUCUGCUGAACUCUCCCAGCGCCUUCAGAAGUUCUCUGAAGUAGCUGAUAACACACUGAAGCUGCAGAGUGAGUCCACUGAUUGUUGGCUAUGCUGAUGAAGAAAGCAGCUGGACCCUUUGGUAAAAUUCCUGUCUCCUGCAUCCUGGGCUGCUCAGAGGACACUCAGCACUUGAGCUGCUGCCUUGGAUUGCAUCCCUCCCUUUGGGCCAUGAGGAACAAUCCUCUGCCCACCUUGCCCUGUUGAAUCCUCUUUGAGGGUUUCCAACCAUAACAGCCCCACAGCUGGAGCCACAGACCCUUCCCUGCUUUGUGGGAUCCUCCAGGAAUUCCAGCCCUGGAAAUGGUUGGAAUUCCCAGCCCAGCAUGUGUGGGGCUCUCUGCCCAGGGCAGAGGAGACAUCUCCUUCCCAAAGCACCCCCACGAGUGGCUUCUUGCAAAUCCCUGAGGAGUGCAGGCUGCUCAUCCCAGCUUCU